UUCAUUCUUGCUCCACGUCUCCUUUAGGAGAUGGGGGAGAGAGAGAAGCAGGACAGGAUAGGGAAGGAGCUAAGCCAGGAUGUAGCCUCAGCUGAGGUCUAGCUUCGGCCUGAAUUGCACCAGGUGUUGAUCCCACCUUGCAGAAAGAGGGCUGAGCUUUUGUACCCCUGACUCAAUGAGUCCACAGUCUGCCUGGUGGGAGGACGGGAGAGCUGCCACAGGUUAAAAUCCCCUGGCAGGCGACUCCCAUGGGCCAAGGGCAAUUGUGAGAGGCAGGAGUCGUGAGAAGGGGGCAGUGGUGAACUGUUAGCAGCGGGGAAUGCCAGCAGUUGGGGUGUGGGUGCACCAGCUCGUAAAUGGAGUGUAGGUGAGGAACUCACAGUGUCCACCACACUGGCUGUCCUCUUUUCUUUUAAAUUUAAAAUGUGUGUAUUUUUUAUUUUUGUGGGUACUUAGUAGGGGUAUCUAUGGGGUACAUGAAAUGUUUUGAUCCAGGCAUGCAAUGCCUCAUAAUCGUAUGAUGGAGGACGGGGUAUCCAUCCCCUGAAACAUUUACCUUUGUGUUAUAAACAAUCCAAUUACACUCUUUUAGUUAUUUUAAAAUGUUGGGUGUCCUCUUAUUGUAUUAAUUCAUCACUACCUAAACCUCCCAAACUUAGGGUCAACCCUUAGAAGAAAAGGGAGACUGAAUUGAACCAAGAUACAGUUUCCACCACCCUCCAUCACGGCCAUUGCAUCCAGUGUACGAACAAAACAACAGCCCUGCUCACACAUCUAGGCUCACAGCAUGCAAGCUGUGCCUAUUCCAGUUGUAGGACUCUAGAACCUUCAAGACACUGAGGGCAGAACUUCAGAAUUGUAGCUUUCAGGCUCUCUGAGCUAAUGUACCCACAAAGGGGGCCUCCCCAGGGGAAGACAGAAUGGGGCCUGGCUCGAGGACCAGGCUGGGCAGAUGAAGUUACAAGGUGAGGAAAGACAAGGUGGCUUGACCAGGUCUCACGGGAGGCCCCACGACAGACCGUGGAGAGGAUGGCGAGACCUGAGAUUGUGAGAAGGUGUAGGAAAUUAGGUACCAGUGGAGCAGCCUUGGGGUAGGUGAGGACCUGGCUGCAGCCCUGACCCCAGCUGCAAAACGACCUGGAUGCUUCGGCUCUGAGUAGCGCUUAGAGCAGGGCCACACUUCAACACCACCCAUGCCAAACUGAACCCCUUUCACCUGGGUACAGCACUCUACAGUGAGCAAACAAUCUAAUAGCUCAGCAUCUGGAGGUGGGUGAGUUGGGGGCUAAAUUUGACGCAGGGGGAAACUGAGGCCUAGAGAAGUGCACUAACUUACUUCACUAGCAAAUUCUGAUGAAGCACCUACUCUGUGCCAGGCACUAAUUCAGGUCCUGAGAUACUUCAGUAAACAAAAGAGAAACCCCUGCCCACAUGGAGCACAUAUUCAGGUGGGCGAGGAGGGGGUUGGGGAAGGAAGUAAUUAUUGCUGUGGAGAAAAAGAAUGAAGCAGGGAAGGGAGAUAAGAAGGCAGGAGGGCUGGGCGCGGUGGCUCACACCUGUGAUCCCAACACUUUGGGAGGCUGAGGCAGGCAGAUCACUUGAGGCCAGGAGUUUGAGACCAGCCUGGCCAACAUGGCAAAACCCCAUCUCUACUAAAAGUACAAAAAAAUCAGCCAGAAUGUGGUGGUGCUUGCCUGUAAUCCCAGCUACUCGGGAGGCUGAGGCACGAGAAAAUUGCUUGAACCCGGGAGGCGGAGGUUGCAGUGAGCCGAGAUGGCACCACUGCACUCCAGCCUGGGCGACAGAGUGAGACACUGCCUCAAAAAAAAAAAAAAGGAAGGCUGGGGGUGGAAACUGCCAUUUGAAAAUAGAGGGUCAGGGAAGGUGUCACUUCCUAAAGAGAGGAUGCUUGAAUAAGAACUUGGAGGUGAGAGAAGUCGUGCAGGGAACAGCGGGAAUAGCCGAUGCUAAGCUCCCCCAGGUAGAUUUGCAAUGGGAGACGGAGAGAUGAGGUCAGAGAGGUCUUGUAGGGGCAGGUCCUGCAGGGCCAUGAGGACUUUGCUGUUACACUGAGUGAUAUGGGAGCCACUGGAAGGCUUUGAGUGGGAGGUGACAUGACCUGACGUGGGUUCUCACAGGAUCCCUCUGGCUUUCAGGGAAGCGUGUGAGUGUGGAUGCAGGUGAGCAGCGAGAAAGUAACUGUAAUAGUCCAGGUGAGAAAUGACAGUGGCUUGCUCUAAAGUAGAAUUUUUUUUUUUUUUUUUUUUUUUUUUUUUUUUUGUGAGACAGGGUCUUACUCUUUCACCCAGGCUGGAGCGUAGUGGUGCAAUCAUGGAUUACUGCAGCCUCAACCUCUGGGGCCCAAGUGAUCCUCCCAUUUUAGCCUCUCAAGUAGCUGGGACCACAGGCAUGUGCCACCAUGCCCGGCUAAUUUUUUGAAAUUAUUUUUUGUAGAGAUGGGGUCUCAAUAUGUUACCCAGGCUGGUCUUGAACCCCUGGGCUCAAGUGAUCCUCCUGCCUCAGCUUCCCAAAGUGCUGGGAUUACAGGCACAAGCCACCGUACCUGGUCCUAAAGUAGAGUUUCUCAACUUCAGCACUAUCAUCAUUUGGGCUGAAUGAAUCUUUGUUGUGGGGCUGUCCUGUGCACUGUGGAUGUUUAGCGGCAUCCCGGCAUCUACCCACUAGGUGCCAAUAGUACCAUCCCACCUGGUAUGAUACCAAAAAUAUCUCCAGACAAUGCCAAAUGCUCUCUGAGGGGCAAAAAUCACCCCCCGUUGAGAACUUCUGGUCUGGAGCAGGAGUCAGCCAGCUAUGGCUCACGGGCCAAAUGCAACCUGCCACCUGCUUGUACAACCCGAGAGCAAGCUGAGAGCAGAUUUCACAUUUUUAAAUGGUUCCGUUUUAAGUGAUUAUGUAAGUACCUACAGAAUAUCCUCAAUUUUGCCUCUUGGCCUGCAAACCUCAAAUAUUUACUAUCUGGCCCUUUCAAGAAAAGCGUGCCGACUCUUGGUCAGGAGUGUUCAUGGGGGUGAUGAAAAGGGGUUGGAGGCUGAUACACUUUGAAAGCAGGGCCUUGGGAUUUAUGCAGAGGUCCCACACGGAGUGUGAACAAAGGAGGAGUCAUGAGUAGCUCCCAGGUUUUUGGCCUCUGUGGCUGGAAAGAGAUACUGAGAUGGGGGGAAAUCGGCAGGAGCGAGUUCGCAGUGGGAGGACGUGGGGCUUAGUUUUGGAGAUGUUAAGUUUGAGGAAUGUCACAUAGACAGGGGAAGGACACCAGCUUUGGAGUUAGGCAGGGUCAUUGUCUGAAUCCCAGCUCUGCCGUGGACUCACUGCAGAACCUCAGGUAAAGAAGGACUUGCCUCUCUGAGCCUCAGUUUCCUCACCUGCAAAAAGGAGGGCAUGUUUCGUGUGGGCUGGAUCUCUGGAUAAGGGGCUUUUAUGAUGAACACUGAGGCAUAGGCAAUAUGCUUUUAAAGUGUUUUGAGGAUCACCUGCGUCAGAAUCAGUUGAGAUCCUUGUUAGGGAUGCAGAUCCUGGGCUGCCUCUAGAGACUUUGAUUCUGUGGUCUGGGCGAUGGACCCGGAAUCUGAACUGCCUGGGUUUUGAGAACUCCUGACCUAGGGCUUGGGUGUCCAAUUAAAGAGCCUGUGGCUGCCUCUCAAGACUUGCAGGUUCCCAAGUGGAAAUGUCUUUAAAGAUCACAGAGCCCAGCAGCCUACCCCCGUUAGGCAAAUGAGAAACCCGAAGACCAGAGAAGCCGAGUGCCUUGCCUGAGGCCACACAGCUGGGAAGCAGCAGAGCUGGGUCUGGGAUGGUUGAUGGAUAGGUGGAAAGGUAACAGCUGGUUCAGGUAACAAGCAAUUGGAUCCAGACAGUGCGGGUAGGAUCCAGGUCAGAGUUGAAUUUCAUUUUGGGAAUCAAAUCCUUCUGGACUUGGGAGAGAGACAUGUGGUUUCUUCCCAUUUGAGAGUGUUAAAUGACUCUCCCAGACUCCUGUUCAGCUAAUGCUUUGGAGAAACAGGAGCCCAUUUUCUGUGACACUCUUUGGCCAGCCAGGCCACCCCAGUCUCCAAUAAGCCCCUUCCUGCAGCCCAAUGGACUUGCUGAACCCUUGUGGGUAGCAAUGUGGGGCACACACCACCAGUAUUAGUUACAUUGAAAUCUGGAUUUCUCAACCUUGACUGGUUUAGCUGCCCAGGGACAAGCCAUCAGAAUCACAUUGAUUCACAGAGUGAGAAGGUGCUACCCUUUCCAAUUGUCUUCAGACCCCCAGACUCCCUGAAGUGGAAAGUCCCAGUAUGAAGCCAGUGACAUUUUAACACCUCUCUAACACACAUCUUCCCUUUUAACCCAGAGAGUAGGUAUCAGGCUUCAGCAUCUGGCUGGAAUUUUAUGACAUGAUUUAUGGCAAAUGGCACCAGUUCUUCAUAAUAUCAAAUUUCCUGUUAAAACAACUCGAUUUAGUAAAAUUAAUGACUUAAUCUAAAGAAGACUAUUAAGCAAAUCCUAUUUCAGGUAUUUCCCCUGGACCUAAUGGUGGUCUCUGACCCAAACUGGUUCCCUCACUCAUGAUCCCUUCUGGCCACAGGGAUUGGCUCAGAGAUGAUCAUGUGGCUCAAGUCUGUCCAGUCAGAGGCAAUCUUCAUGGGAAGAGUCAGGAAAAAAAUGGCCAUUUUAUCUGCUGGCCUUCAUGCUGGGAGGGUGGAAUCUGGAGGCAAUGUCAGCUGAGAGAUGAGGAAUGACUUUCCAAGGCCACCGGCAUUAGUGGUGGAGCAGGGAUUUGAACUAGGCCCACCUGCCCACAAAGGUAGUACAACUUCCCGCUAAACCACAUUUCUGGUGAAUUCCCUGGGAUUCUUCAUUUUAUUUCUUUCCUUUUCUUUUUUGUUUUUUAGACAGAGUCUUGCUCUGUUGCCUAGGCUGGAGUACAGUGGCCCUAUCUCGGCUCACUGCAAGCUCCUCCUCCCGGGUUCACACCAGUCUCCUGCCUCAGCCUCCCGAGUAGCUGGGAUUACAGGCAUCCGCCACCACGCCCGGCUAAUUUUUUGUAUUUUUAGUAGAGACAGGGUUUCACCUUGUUAGCCAGGCUAGUCUCAAUCUCCUGACCUCGUGAUCUGCCCGCCUCGGCCUCCCAAAGUGCUGGGAUUAUAGGCGUGAGCCACUGCCUAUAGUUCCCUCAGAACUUCUGUUUCCUGGGUUUUGAGUCUUCAUACGUAGGGUUUACUUAAGUAAAAUGUAAUGGCACCCCAUAAAAUAUAACCCAAAUAGGUACCUUUGAAAAGCUGAUAGAAGACACUGUAAUGAUCAUUCAACACAUUCUGGGCACUGGAGAAGGUAUUUGGCCACUUGUAAAGAAUUUAGUGCCCUGUGCUUUCAGUGGAUGAUAAGAAACUUCUGGCUGGAGUUCGAGCUGAACAUUUCAGACCAUCUCACCACUCCUCAACCAAAGGAAGGUGAAUUGUGGUUUCUGCCAACUUUGACUAACCUCUGAAUUCAUCCAUCCAUUCAUCCAGCAAAAUUUUAUGGAAGAUUUGCAUGGA
RNAcentral lists this long non-coding RNA (5540 nucleotides) under Homo sapiens (human). RNAcentral's name for it is "HSALNT0268381". The record is from RNAcentral. Lineage: Eukaryota; Metazoa; Chordata; Mammalia; Primates; Hominidae.